GGGGGAGAAAGAACAAAGGUCCACUCAGCUCUGAGAUCCUCUGCUCCUGCUGGCACCCUCUGCGCCCGUCCUGCACAAAGGCCUGGGGAAAUCUGGGUGGGAGAUGGUGGUGUCAGGGGAACAGCUUGCCUCCACUUCCUCCUUCUGGGGACACAGAAGCUGGCAAACCCAGUCUUACCCAGACCUGGGGGGGAAUCUGUCAGGGCCCAGGGUUACCGUGACUUGUGAUGCAAGGGAAAAAUCAGGGGCUUGUGCAAUGUCAGUGAGUGGGUGAGAAGCCCAGUUCCCGGCUGCCGGGAACCAGGCGGCAGGCUCUACCCAGGAGCGAGGCUUGGACCACCUGUCUGAUGACAAAUACAUGUUUAGGGAGGAGACGGGCUUGGGUGGGCUCUUGACUUCAGGCCAUUUCCCGAGUCUACAUUUGGUGACAUUUACCCAAUAGGGAACUCACCGCAAUAUUAAAAAAAAAAAAAAAAAAAAAAGAAUUCUAGCCUGCAAAGCCAAAAGCAAACCUCCGACUGUAGUCUGCGUCCUGCUUCUUCUCUAGGGGCUGAAAGGGGUCGUGAGCGCCGGGGCCAUCCCUGUCCAAGGUCCCCACAGGGCCGUGAAGAGAACAGGUGAGGCUCCACCCGACGCAGUUAUUUUCGGAGCAGCCUUUCUUUUUUGGGGGCUUUUCAAAGUUCCUGAUUCGAGUACAGGCAGAUAGGCUAUUUGCUUUCCAGUGACAAGUUCGUUGGGGCAGAAACACUGGCUGCGAGCAGAGUCCACGGUGGAAAAUACCUCUAAGACUCCACGUGCCAGUAAUUUGAAAACAUCGAAUAAGAAGGCUGUGGGCGCCCUGCCUGGAAAGCAAAUUCUGGCUAAGCCAAAACAAAACAGAGCUGCAAACUGAACAGAGAGCAAAAGAGAAAAAAAAAGGAAAAACCAAGAGCAAAAUAAAACCAAAGGGCAUACAGAAUGGGAUGAAGGAGAGGAAGAGGGUCCCCAUUGUGGAAAGAAAGCACAAGCAAGACCGAGGCUCCCAAAGGUCCUGGCUGCAUUUCUUCCCACAAAAGUCCCGGCAAGACGAGCUCUCAGAGGUCCCGGUUAAUUUCUUCAGAAAGCCUUAUGGUUUUUUGGUUAAAGAAAUAAGGCCCAGAGGAAACCACUGCGUGGGGCUUUGGGUCUGUCCUCGCUCUGGGUGGGUGGCAGUGGGGCACCGGUGAACCCUAUGGAAAAAGUGAGUCGAGGUGUGAUCCUAGCCCAGAAAUGCUGAGUAAACACUCCACGCGAAUUCUGGUUUCUCUGAAUUUCAACAAAUUUGCUCCAUUCAGUAAGAACACCUCGUGGGGAUGGGCUGGUUUCAACGCCUGGGCUCGCGUUCUGACCCAGCAGUGUGACCGCUGUUCGUCAGAAGGUGGGACUCUCUGGGAGGGGCUCGCCCGCUGCCUGGCUCCCUCUGAGCUCACCUCCGAGGUGCGUGAGCACAUCUCUGAACUUAUGUGUGGAUGGAUCCACACAUAUAUUUCACUGCUGAUGAGGCAGUUGGGAAAUGACUCAGUCUCCAAGGGGCACUGCUGCGCCAACGGGAGACAGAGCUGCCAGACCUUGCCUUCACGUGCUCUCAACACUUUCAUGUAGGAGUUCCCUCUUUGCUCAAGUCUGCAUUUGCAUGCAGAUAUUCAAAAAAUAUUCAAAAAACCUGGCAAACGUCCUUCCCUGAUCCCUAACGGGGCUUUUGGUGAUGAGAAUCAGCAAGGACAUGGGAAAGGCGCCAUCAAAUAUGUUAAAAAGCAAAC
Non-coding RNA from Equus caballus (horse), 1778 nucleotides. The record is from RefSeq and is a predicted model, not a curated record. NCBI's taxonomy places the organism in Eukaryota, Metazoa, Chordata, Mammalia, Perissodactyla, Equidae.